AUUGAACGCUGGCGGCAGGCCUAACACAUGCAAGUCGAACGAGUGGCGGACGGGUGAGUAAUGUCUGGGAAAUUGCCUGAUGGAGGGGGAUAAUUACUGGAAACGGUAGCUAAUACCGCAUACCAUCCUAUGAUCCCUGGUGGGUUUAGCUUGUUGGUGGGGUAACGGCGCACCAAGCCGACGAUCCCGAGCUGGUCUGAGAGGAUGACCGGCCACACUGGAACUGAGACACGGUCCAGACUCCUACGGGAGGCAGCAGUGGGGAAUAUUGCGCAAUGGGCGCAAGCCUGAUGCAGCCAUGCCGCGUGUAUGAAGAAGGCCUUCGGGUUGUAAAGUACUUUCAGCGGGGAGGCGUUACCCGCAGAAGAAGCACCGGCUAACUCCGUGCCAGCAGCCGCGGUAAUAC
RNAcentral lists this ribosomal RNA (406 nucleotides) under uncultured bacterium. RNAcentral's name for it is "partial 16S ribosomal RNA". It matches the Rfam family "Bacterial small subunit ribosomal RNA", at positions 30 to 526 of the family's 1533-position model. The record is from RNAcentral.